Molecule: ribosomal RNA, 460 nt
Filed under: uncultured bacterium
Lineage: Bacteria
Description: partial 16S ribosomal RNA
Rfam family: Bacterial small subunit ribosomal RNA
Source: RNAcentral
CCUACGGGAGGCAGCAGUGAGGAAUCUUGGUCAAUGGGCGUAAGCCUGAACCAGCCAAGUCGCGUGAGGGAUGAAGGUUCUAUGGAUUGUAAACCUCUUUUAUAAGGGAAUAAAGUGUGGGACGUGUCCUGUUUUGUAUGUACCUUAUGAAUAAGGAUCGGCUAACUCCGUGCCAGCAGCCGCGGUAAUACGGAGGAUCCGAGCGUUGUCCGGAUUUAUUGGGUUUAAAGGGUGCGUAGGCGGUCUUUUAAGUCGGCGGUGAAAGUCUGUGGCUCAACCAUAGAAUUGCCGUUGAAACUGGGAGGCUUGAGUAUGUUUGAGGCAGGCGGAAUGCGUGGUGUAGCAGUGAAAUGCUUAGAUAUCGCGCAGAACCCCGAUUGCGAAGGCAGCCUGCCAGGCCAUGACUGACGCUGAUGCACGAAAGCGUGGGGAUCAAACAGGAUUAGAUACCCUAGUAGUC